CAGCAGCCGCGGUAAUACGGAGGGAGCUAGCGUUGUUCGGAAUUACUGGGCGUAAAGCGCGCGUAGGCGGUUACUCAAGUCAGAGGUGAAAGCCCGGGGCUCAACCCCGGAACUGCCUUUGAAACUAGGUGACUAGAAUCUUGGAGAGGUCAGUGGAAUUCCGAGUGUAGAGGUGUAAUUCGUAGAUAUUCGGAAGAACACCAGUGGCGAAGGCGACUGACUGGACAAGUAUUGACGCUGAGGUGCGAAAGCGUGGGGAGCAAACAGGAUUAGAUACCCCGGUAGUCCCUGUCUCUUAUAC
Molecule: ribosomal RNA, 301 nt
Filed under: uncultured bacterium
Lineage: Bacteria
Description: partial 16S ribosomal RNA
Rfam family: Bacterial small subunit ribosomal RNA
Source: RNAcentral